UGGAACACGGGCCUCGACUGUUUACCAAAAACAUAGCCCUCGGCCAAUAUGAAAAUAGAUGUAUAGAGGGUGAUGCCUGCCCAAUGGUUGUAUCUAAAAGCGGUUGAUAAAAGUCGACCUCGUAAGGACAAUUGAAUGGCCGCGGUAACACUGACCGUGAUAAUGUAGCGUAAUCAAUAGCCAAUUAAUUGUUGGCCAGUAUGAAUGGCGCCACGAAGGCCCCACUGUCUUAAGGAAAUUCCCAGUGAAAUUGAAUUCGUAGUGAAGAUGCUACGUCCAAUUUGUUAGACGAAAAGACCCCGUUGAGCUUUACUGGGGCACUUACACGGCCCCGGCCUUCCCGUGUCCGGGAACCGGCCGAAUUUAAAUGGGUGGUUUAGACUAUGUGGCAGCCCCCCGCCGGGGCAGAUGAAACCCCACUCCCCCAUGUCAAAGGGGCUAACCCCCCCUUGGGGGGGAGAGUGUAAGUAGGACAGUUUGGUUGGGGCGACCGCCUUUUAAAGAGUAACGAAGGUGCGCUUAAGGUGCGCAAUUAAUGACUGAAGCCUGACUGCGAGGGGGACACCCCGAGCAGACACCCCUAAGCCCGCCCGAAGGGCGGCGGUGGGGUGGGCCAUAGUGACCCGUUAAUUUAGAGUGGAAUAGUUAACGAUCAACGAAUAAAAG
This 666-nucleotide ribosomal RNA is filed under the name Cladiella tuberculosa. Its description in RNAcentral is "partial 16S ribosomal RNA". It matches the Rfam family "Bacterial large subunit ribosomal RNA", at positions 1783 to 2462 of the family's 2925-position model. The record is from RNAcentral. Lineage: Eukaryota; Metazoa; Cnidaria; Anthozoa; Malacalcyonacea; Cladiellidae.